AGAGUUUGAUCAUGGCUCAGGACGAACGCUGGCGGCGUGCCUAACACAUGCAAGUCGAACGAGGUCCAUCCUUCGGGAGAAGACCUAGUGGCGAACGGGUGAGUAACACGUGAAGAACCUGCCCCGAAGACCGGGAUAACUCUCCGAAAGGAGAGCUAAUACCGGAUACCCCCACCGAACCGCAUGGUUUGGUGAGGAAAUGGAUUCCGCUUCGGGAGGGCUUCGCGGCCUAUCAGCUAGUUGGUGGGGUAACGGCCCACCAAGACAUCGACGGGUAGCUGGUCUGAGAGGACGAUCAGCCACACUGGGACUGAGACACGGCCCAGACUCCUACGGGAGGCAGCAGUGGGGAAUCUUGCGCAAUGGGCGAAAGCCUGACGCAGCAACGCCGCGUGGGGAUGAAGGCUCUCGGGUUGUAAACCCCUUUCAGCAGGGACGAAUCAAGACGGUACCUGCAGAAGAAGCCCCGGCUAACUACGUG
RNAcentral lists this ribosomal RNA (481 nucleotides) under uncultured bacterium. Its description in RNAcentral is "bacterial SSU rRNA". It matches the Rfam family "Bacterial small subunit ribosomal RNA", at positions 8 to 507 of the family's 1533-position model. The record is from RNAcentral.